GACGAACGCUGGCGGCGUGCUUAACACAUGCAAGUCGAACGAUGAAGCUGGAGCUUGCUCCGGUGGAUUAGUGGCGCACGGGUGAGUAACACGUGAGAAAUCUGCCCUUGACUCUGGGAUAACUGCGGGAAACUGUAGCUAAUACCGGAUAUUUUCCUUGGUGGGCAUCCACUGGGGAAGAAAGAAUUUCGGUCAAGGAUGAUCUCGCGGCCUAUCAGCUAGUUGGUGAGGUAAUGGCGCACCAAGGCGACGACGGGUAGCCGGCCUGUGAGGGUGACCGGCCACACUGGGACUGAGACACGGCCCAGACUCCUACGGGAGGCAGCAGUGGGGAAUAUUGCACAAUGGGCGCAAGCCUGAUGCAGCAACGCCGCGUGAGGGAUGAAGGCCUUCGGGUUGUAAACCUCUUUUAGCAGGGAAGAAGCGAAAGUGACGGUACCUGCAGAAAAAGCACCGGCUAACUACGUGCCAGCCGCCGCAGUAA
This 484-nucleotide ribosomal RNA is filed under the name uncultured bacterium. Its description in RNAcentral is "partial 16S ribosomal RNA". It matches the Rfam family "Bacterial small subunit ribosomal RNA", at positions 28 to 523 of the family's 1533-position model. The record is from RNAcentral.